Molecule: ribosomal RNA, 486 nt
Filed under: uncultured bacterium
Lineage: Bacteria
Description: partial 16S ribosomal RNA
Rfam family: Bacterial small subunit ribosomal RNA
Source: RNAcentral
GACGAACGCUGGCGGCGUGCUUAACACAUGCAAGUCGAACGCUGAAGACCUGGCUUUUGUUGGGUUGGAUGAGUGGCGAACGGGUGAGUAACACGUGAGUAACCUGCCCUCUUCUUUGGGAUAACGCCCGGAAAUGGGUGCUAAUACUGGAUAUUCACUGAUCUUCGCAUGGGGGUUGGUGGAAAGGUUUGUUCUGGUGGGGGAUGGGCUCGCGGCCUAUCAGCUUGUUGGUGGGGUGAUGGCCUACCAAGGCUUUGACGGGUAGCCGGCCUGAGAGGGUGACCGGUCACAUUGGGACUGAGAUACGGCCCAGACUCCUACGGGAGGCAGCAGUGGGGAAUAUUGCACAAUGGGCGAAAGCCUGAUGCAGCGACGCCGCGUGAGGGAUGGAGGCCUUCGGGUUGUAAACCUCUUUCGCUCAUGGUCAAGCCGCAACUGUGGGUUGUGGUGAGGGUAGUGGGUAAAGAAGCGCCGGCUAACUACGUG